UACAGAGGGAGCAAGCGUUGUUCGGAAUUACUGGGCGUAAAGGGCGCGUAGGCGGUCCUAUAAGUCCCGCGUGAAAUCCCCCGGCUCAACUGGGGAACUGCGCGGGAAACUGCAGGGCUUGAGUUCGGGAGAGGGAAGCGGAAUUCCGGGUGUAGCGGUGAAAUGCGUAGAUAUCCGGAGGAACACCGGUGGCGAAGGCGGCUUCCUGGACCGACACUGACGCUGAGGCGCGAAAGCUAGGGGAGCAAACGGG
RNAcentral lists this ribosomal RNA (253 nucleotides) under uncultured bacterium. RNAcentral describes it as "partial 16S ribosomal RNA". It matches the Rfam family "Bacterial small subunit ribosomal RNA", at positions 524 to 776 of the family's 1533-position model. The record is from RNAcentral.